Molecule: ribosomal RNA, 445 nt
Filed under: uncultured bacterium
Lineage: Bacteria
Description: partial 16S ribosomal RNA
Rfam family: Bacterial small subunit ribosomal RNA
Source: RNAcentral
GUGAGGAAUAUUGCGCAAUGGAGGCAACUCUGACGCAGCCAUGCCGCGUGCAGGAAGAAGGCGCUACGCGUUGUAAACUGCUUUUAACCGGGAAGAAACCCCAGGACGUGUCCUGGGUUGACGGUACCGGAGGAAUAAGCACCGGCUAACUUCGUGCCAGCAGCCGCGGUAAUACGAAGGGUGCAAGCGUUAUCCGGAUUCAUUGGGUUUAAAGGUUGCGUAGGCGGAGCGUUAAGUCAGUGGUGAAAUCCUGCAGCUUAACUGUAGACUUGCCAUUGAUACUGGCGCUCUUGAGUGCGCUUGAAGUGGGCGGAAUGUGCCGUGUAGCGGUGAAAUGCUUAGAUAUGGCACAGAACACCAAUUGCGAAGGCAGCUCACUAAGGCGAUACUGACGCUGAGGCACGAAAGCGUGGGGAUCGAACAGGAUUAGAUACCCCAGUAGUCC